AUUUUCUGCUAGGGGAGCCCGUAGCCGGGCUGAGAGAGGGGAGAACGAUCCCUUUGACCCUUUGAACCUGAUCUGGGUUAUACCAGCGUAGGAAAGUAGGAGUCGAAGAUA
Molecule: non-coding RNA, 111 nt
Filed under: Fictibacillus enclensis
Lineage: Bacteria; Bacillati; Bacillota; Bacilli; Caryophanales; Fictibacillaceae
Description: TPP sequence
Rfam family: TPP riboswitch aptamer (THI element)
About the family: Vitamin B(1) in its active form thiamin pyrophosphate (TPP) is an essential coenzyme that is synthesised by coupling of pyrimidine and thiazole moieties in bacteria. The previously detected thiamin-regulatory element, thi box was extended, resulting in a new, highly conserved RNA secondary structure, the THI element, which is widely distributed in eubacteria and also occurs in some archaea.
Source: Rfam by way of RNAcentral